UACGUAGGUGGCGAGCGUUGUCCGGAUUUACUGGGCGUAAAGAGCGCGCAGGCGGUUCGUUCAAGUCGAGUGUGAAAGCCCCCGGCUCAACUGGGGAGGGUCAUUCGAUACUGAUCGACUCGAAGGCAGGAGAGGGUAGUGGAAUUCCCGGUGUAGUGGUGAAAUGCGUAGAUAUCGGGAGGAACACCAGUGGCGAAGGCGACUACCUGGCCUGUUCUUGACGCUGAGGCGCGAAAGCUAGGGGAGCAAACGGG
RNAcentral lists this ribosomal RNA (254 nucleotides) under uncultured bacterium. Its description in RNAcentral is "partial 16S ribosomal RNA". It matches the Rfam family "Bacterial small subunit ribosomal RNA", at positions 524 to 776 of the family's 1533-position model. The record is from RNAcentral.